Molecule: long non-coding RNA, 1803 nt
Organism: Mirounga angustirostris (Northern elephant seal)
Lineage: Eukaryota; Metazoa; Chordata; Mammalia; Carnivora; Phocidae
Exons: 5
Source: RefSeq, a predicted model, not a curated record
UCGCCCGGCCCGCAUGGCACUAUGGGAAAGGUAGUUCGGCGCAACCCAGCGGUUGGACUACAACUCCCAGGAUGCCCCUGAAGGAGCGAGCGAGGUGGCUGCGGUGGCCUCAUCGGCCUCGAAGAUUUCCUCCUUGAUGCUUAUUUUACCCUGAUAUCGCCUGAGUGCCAAAGUCCAUUGGGUGGACAACGUGAUUUUCAUCUGCCAAAUGCAGAAGAUUUGGAAGGCCGGGCAAGGACAUUUCUUCUCCACAUGGAAUGAGUACAGUGAAGAGGAAUAGAAAAAUGGAAUGAACCUUGGUAAGGGAAGAUGAAAGCCCAAGAUGGAGUAAUAGAAUGUGGAAGCCCAGAGCUGCUCUAACAGGUCACUCAGGAGAUGAAUCUGAGAGAACACAACAGGAGGCAGUUUCAACAGGAUGCUGCUGCAGGAAUCCAGGAUGUUUUAGUAGACUCAUCUAGGAAGAAAGCUGGAAUUAAAAGGAGCUGUUUUAAUGGUGGAAAAUCUGGCUGGGGGUAAGCUCUCAUGGGAACCACAGGGCUGUGUCUCUAGCUGGCUACGUCAGUCAUAGCUCAGCAGGUUCUGCAUUUCACUGCAGAUGUUUGGUUUGGAAAGUCCCUUGGUUAUUUGGCUUCUGAAGUCCUUUCUCACCAUGGGGCUCCUCUGUGGGAGGACAGAGCUCAUCAAUCACAUUCUCCAAAUGUCAGGCUUCUGCUGUGUGACCCCAGAAGAACUUGCUUCCCAUCUACGUAACAGAAGCAAGGACUCUACAUUUGCUGGAAUCAAGUGUGAACUGUGGGGCAAAGGUCCUCCCUGAUGGUUAAGAGUUCCCAAGAGACGUGACUGUUGGGACAUAAAUCGGAAUAUAAAUGUCACCCCAAUCCUCUGACUGUUACCAUUUCACCCUUCCUUCUUCUCUUUCCUACAGUCUCUUAAGAGACUCUUGGGGGAUGUAAUUCACCAACCAGAAACUAAAUUAUAUUUAACUUUCUCAAUUAGAUGCUAUUUCAGCUAUGUUAAACCCAUACUUGAGAUGCUAAGCCAGAACAUGAGAGCCCUGGAAAGGGGUCCUGGAAUCAUUCAGGUUCAGACUUGUAGAAUUAUUACUUUCACUUUCUAGAACCCGCUACACCUUCUUUUAACUAUAAAGCUUUAGAUCUGCUACCCUCUUUGCCUGAAAUUCCCUCUUUUUCGCCAGGCCUAUCCAACACACACACACACAGAGAAAGAGAGCAAGAGAGCAAGAGCAUUGAGUGGCUUCUGCUUGUCCCUCAGGACUCAAAUCAGGCAUUAUCUCUUUAGGAAAGUUUUCUGAUAUCCCACCCCUGUACACAGUUUUCAAUCACUGAUGGAUUUUCCAGUCUUAACCAAUUGGCAAUAAAUGACCAAUAAAUAUUAGUGUCAUUGAAUGAAUAAAUGGAUUGUUAUGGCUAGUGUUGUACUCGGACUCUCAUUCUGGUUGAGAAUGAGCCUCCUCACUACUGGGUAUUUACCCCAAAGAUACAAAUGUAGGGAUCCGAAGGGGUACGUGCACCCCGAUGUUUAUAGCAGCAAUGUCCACAAUAGCCAAACUGUGGAAAGAGCCAAGAUGUCCAUCAACAGAUGAAUGGAUAAAGAAGAUGUGGUAUAUAUAUACAAUGGAACAUUAUGCACCCAUCAAAAGGAAUGAGAUCUUGCCAUUUGCAACGACGUGGAUGGAACUGGAGGGUGUUAUGCUGAGCGAAAUAUGUCAAUCAGAGAAAGACAUGUAUCAUAUGACCUCACUGAUAUGGGGAAUUCUUAAUGUCAGGAAACAAACUGAGGGUU